GAGGGAGCAGGUCUGUGAAGUCAGUAUAGCAUUUUGACCUGGGAGGCCCAGAGGCCCUCUCAGGGUGCCUAUGGGGUAAAAACUUAUUAUCAUGACACUAAGAUAUUAUUUGGCCUUUUUUUUUUUAAUCAUUCUCAAGUAGAUUUUCUAACUGUGUAGCAAUGAAUGGAAAGCAGAUGCCCAUGAGAAGCUAGAGGUUCUUAGGAGCCAUGUCAGUUUCUAGUGCAUUCAUGAAUGAUAAUAAAGAUGACUAUGUACAAAAAAGCAAUGCCUGCUUAAUUUGGAAAAUAUAGAAAAGUAUAAGACAAAUAUAGAAAUCAUCCUAGCUUUAUUAUUAACAUUUUGGAAUAUUCCCCAUCAGCAUUUUAUGUAGCUUUUUUGUUUUUGUUUUUGUUCUUGUUUGUUUUUUGCUUUUGAGGGCCACACCCAGGGCAUAUGGAGUGGCCCCAGAAAAGGCAAAAAGACAAUAAAUAAAUUAAUUAAUUAAUUAAAUAAAAUAAAACUCAUUUGGCUUCUUUUAAUCACUUUUCCUAUCCUGGCUAUUUUGAUAGGUUAAAAAAAAAAAAAAAAAAAAAAAAACAAUGUAUUAGUCUGCUUGAGC
Molecule: non-coding RNA, 601 nt
Organism: Sus scrofa (pig)
Lineage: Eukaryota; Metazoa; Chordata; Mammalia; Artiodactyla; Suidae
Source: RefSeq, a predicted model, not a curated record